Molecule: long non-coding RNA, 830 nt
Filed under: Gallus gallus (chicken)
Lineage: Eukaryota; Metazoa; Chordata; Aves; Galliformes; Phasianidae
Source: RNAcentral
CGAGGAGCCGACUGGGCGGCAGCGGGGCGGGGCGGCCCCGGGGCUCCGAGCGCCGCCUCGGCUUCUGCGACCCCCCUUUUCCCCACUUAGAAUCGUGCCGAGGGAUCUGGAGACGUCCUAGAGAGGUUUGGGGGCAUCCAGGGGGUUCUGGACUCAUGCAGAAGAGUCUGGAGAUGUCCAAGGAGGAUCCAGGGAGUCCCCAGGCCUGCCUGCAGCCGGACCCGGUGACACCGGAGCCCUGUGGCGCUGUCAGGAGGUGAACUGUGUGCCACCAGCAGAGGGGACCAUGGGUGACAUCAGUGUGGAACAGCCGUGACGCGGCGGCGUUGUCAUUGGGUGUCACCGUCACGCAGAGGGGACAAAAGGACCCCCCUGGGGGCAUUGCGUCGAAGUUGGGGACACCGUGAGCAGCUUGAGGACUUCCCAGGGGAAGUGGGGGCACCGUGUCACCGUGUCACACCCCAAAGUUGCGGACGACCCCACAGUGUCACACCCCAAAGAUGGGGAAACCUCUGCAGUGUCACACCCCAAAGUUGGGGACACCCCUGCAGUGUCACAUCCCAAAGCUGGGGACACUCCACAGUGUCACACCCCAAAGUUGGAGUCUGUCCCAGAGGUGGGAGUGCCCCCACAUCCCCACCAUGGCGUCACAUCCCAAAGUUGGGGACCCCCCCUCUGGGGACCCAUUCAGUGCUUCCCCCAUUGCAGACCGCACUGUUCCCAUGGGGUGGGGGCGGGGGGCAUUCUUUAUUUUUGGGAUUAAGGUUUAUUUCGUGAUAAAGGGGCGUUGGGGGAUGCCCCCCCACGUGAAUAAAGGGCGGAGGAGCGGC